Molecule: small nuclear RNA, 195 nt
Organism: Hyla sarda
Lineage: Eukaryota; Metazoa; Chordata; Amphibia; Anura; Hylidae
Product: U2 spliceosomal RNA
Exons: 1
Source: RefSeq, a predicted model, not a curated record
GGCGCUUCUCGGCCUUUUGGCUAAGAUCAUGUGCAGUAUCUGUUCUUAUCAGUGUUCAUUUCAGUAUUGGAUCGGGCAUCACUGGUGUAGAGCUGGUGAGGAGGGGUGCUGCAUGGAGGGGACAGGUGUACCAGGGCUGGUUUUGAGGAAUCAGCUCAACUGCUGCCCUGAUGUGACUUGUUCCCUCCGGGUCUC